UGACUCUGGUUUCUCUUCAGAUUGCAUAAAUCUUUUGCCUUUUACUAAAGAUUUCCAUGGAGGAGAACUGGUUAAAUUUGUGUUAUAGUAGAGUAAGUUUAAAAUUAUUU
Molecule: small nuclear RNA, 110 nt
Filed under: Alligator mississippiensis (American alligator)
Lineage: Eukaryota; Metazoa; Chordata; Crocodylia; Alligatoridae
Description: U5 spliceosomal RNA
Rfam family: U5 spliceosomal RNA
About the family: U5 RNA is a component of both types of known spliceosome. The precise function of this molecule is unknown, though it is known that the 5' loop is required for splice site selection and p220 binding, and that both the 3' stem-loop and the Sm site are important for Sm protein binding and cap methylation.
Source: Rfam by way of RNAcentral